AGCGAACGCUGGCGGCAGGCCUAACACAUGCAAGUCGAACGAACCUUUCGGGGUUAGUGGCGGACGGGUGAGUAACACGUGGGAACGUGCCCUUAGGUUCGGAAUAACUCAGGGAAACUUGUGCUAAUACCGAAUGUGCCCUUCGGGGGAAAGAUUUAUCGCCUUUAGAGCGGCCCGCGUCUGAUUAGCUAGUUGGUUGAGGUAAUGGCUCACCAAGGCGACGAUCAGUAGCUGGUCUGAGAGGAUGAUCAGCCACAUUGGGACUGAGACACGGACCAAACUCCUACGGGAGGCAGCAGUAGGGAAUCUUGCGCAAUGGGCGAAAGCCUGACGCAGCCAUGCCGCGUGAAUGAUGAAGGUGUUAGGAUUGUAAAAUUCUUUCACCGGGGACGAUAAUGACGGUACCCGGAGAAGAAGCCCCGGCUAACUUCGUG
RNAcentral lists this ribosomal RNA (434 nucleotides) under uncultured bacterium. RNAcentral's name for it is "partial 16S ribosomal RNA". It matches the Rfam family "Bacterial small subunit ribosomal RNA", at positions 29 to 507 of the family's 1533-position model. The record is from RNAcentral.